UGGGGAAUAUUGGACAAUGGGCGAAAGCUGAUCCAGCCAUGCCGCGUGUGUGAAGAAGGUCUUCGGAUUGUAAAGCACUUUAAGUUGGGAGGAAGGGCAGUUACCUAAUACGUAUCUGUUUUGACGUUACCGACAGAAUAAGCACCGGCUAACUCUGUG
Molecule: ribosomal RNA, 159 nt
Filed under: unidentified bacterium WP7
Lineage: Bacteria; Pseudomonadati; Pseudomonadota; Gammaproteobacteria
Description: partial 16S ribosomal RNA
Rfam family: Bacterial small subunit ribosomal RNA
Source: RNAcentral